This 403-nucleotide ribosomal RNA is filed under the name uncultured bacterium. RNAcentral describes it as "partial 16S ribosomal RNA". It matches the Rfam family "Bacterial small subunit ribosomal RNA", at positions 28 to 526 of the family's 1533-position model. The record is from RNAcentral.
GACGAACGCUGGCGGCGUGCCUAAUACAUGCAAGUCGAGCGAGCGGCGGACGGGUGAGUAAUGUAUGGGGACUGCCCGAUAGAGGGGGAUAACUACUGGCAACGGUGGCUAAUACCGCAUACUAUCGGAUAACCCAUAUGGGAUUAGCUAGUAGUUGGGGUAAAGGCUCACCUAGGCGACGAUGUCUCGCUGGUCUGAGAGGAUGAUCAGCCACACUGGGACUGAGACACGGCCCAGACUCCUACGGAGGCAGCAGGGGGGAAGAUUGCACAAUGGGCGCAAGCCUGAUGCAGCCAUGCCGCGUGUAUGAAGAAGGCCUUAGGGUUGUAAAGUACGUUCAGCGGGGAGGCGUUACCCGCAGAAGAAGCACCGGCUAACUCCGUGCCAGCAGCCGCGGUAAUAC